Molecule: non-coding RNA, 172 nt
Filed under: Ileibacterium valens
Lineage: Bacteria; Bacillati; Bacillota; Erysipelotrichia; Erysipelotrichales; Erysipelotrichaceae
Also listed under: 1 other name
Description: Lysine riboswitch aptamer
Rfam family: Lysine riboswitch aptamer
About the family: Riboswitches are metabolite binding domains within certain messenger RNAs that serve as precision sensors for their corresponding targets. Allosteric rearrangement of mRNA structure is mediated by ligand binding, and this results in modulation of gene expression. This family includes riboswitches that sense lysine in a number of genes involved in lysine metabolism, including lysC.
Source: Rfam by way of RNAcentral
UGCCAAGAUAGAGGUUGCGGUAGAGACUGAUUUGAACCAAGCCGGCAGGCGUCUGAGGUUUAAAUCGAGCGACAUCGCCGAACUGUCCGAUCAGGCAUGAUCGUGAUGGUGGGCCGACAUAGAAAAUAUGUCGGACUGUCUGCAGAUAACGUGCAGGAGGGCUAUCAGGAAA